Molecule: ribosomal RNA, 253 nt
Filed under: uncultured bacterium
Lineage: Bacteria
Description: partial 16S ribosomal RNA
Rfam family: Bacterial small subunit ribosomal RNA
Source: RNAcentral
UACGAGUACCCCAAGCGUUAUCCGGAAUUAUUGGGCGUAAAGGGUGUGUAGGCGGUCAUGUUAGUCGUUUGUUAAAGCUCCCGGCCUAACCGGGAAAUUGCGGGCGAAACGGCAUGACUUGAGAGCGUGAGAGGUUUGCGGAACUCAUGGUGUAGGGGUGAAAUCCGUUGAUAUCAUGGGGAACACCGAAAGCGAAGGCAGCAAACUGGCGCGUUUCUGACGCUGAAACACGAAAGCGUAGGUAGCGAAUGGG